This 4579-nucleotide long non-coding RNA is filed under the name Homo sapiens (human). RNAcentral's name for it is "HSALNT0009554". The stretch from base 1602 to 1667 matches the Rfam family "mir-1255 microRNA precursor family". Lineage: Eukaryota; Metazoa; Chordata; Mammalia; Primates; Hominidae. The record is from RNAcentral.
GCGUCUUCUGCGUCGCUCAUGCUGGGAGCUGUAGACCGGAGCUGUUCCUAUUCGGCCAUCUUGGCUCCUCCUACGUUUCAUAAAUUUCUAAGAUCAGCAAUGUGGGAGACAGGAGCUUCACCUUCAGGCUGGAUUCCAUGAUGGAGAAAACACAUGGAGCAGACCAGCAGUUAUUUGCAGCUAUCAUGUGAGGUCUCCCUAUUCCUUGGGACACAACUGUAUUGAAAUUAGACCAACUAAUACUUCUACAAAGACUUCUGAGUGUUGAAGUGAAAGGAAGAGUUGCACGUCUCUUAUUUUAAAUCAAAAGCUAGACAUGAUGAAGCUUAGUGAGAAAGGUCUGUAGAAAGAUAAGAUGGGCCAAAAGCUAGGCCUCUUGCAUCAGCUAACUGUGGUGUGAAUGCAAAGGAAAAGCUUUUGAGGAAAAUGAAAAUUCUACUCCAGUGAACACACAAAUGACCAGAAAGCAUAACAGCCUUAUUGCUGAAAAGAAGAAAGUUUGAGUGGUUUGGAUAGAGAAUCAAACCAGCCCCAACAUUCCCCUAAGCCAAAGCCUAAUUCAGAGGAAAGUUCUAACUCUUUUCAAUUCUGUGAAGGCUGAGAGAGGUGAGGAAACAGCAGGAGAAAAGUUUAAAGCCACCAGAGGUUGGCUUAUGAGGUUUAAGGAAAUAAAGCAACCAUCUCCAUAACAUAAAAGUGCAAGUGGAGAAGCAAGUGCUUAUGAAGAAGCUGAAGCAAGUCAUCCAGAAGAUCUAGCUAAGAUAAUUGAUGAAGGUGGCUACACUACACAACAUGUGUUAACAGCCUUCUACUGAAAGAAGAUGCCAUCUAAGACUUUCGUAGCUACAGAGAAGUCAAUACCUGGCUUCAAAGCUUCAAAGAACAGGCUGACUCUCUCAUUAGGGGCUAAUGCAGCUGGUCACUUGAAGUUGAAACCAAUGCUCAUUAACCAGUCUGAAAGUCCUUGGGCCCUUAAGAAUUAUGCUAAACCUACUCUGCCUGUGCCCUAUAAAUGAAACAACAAAGCCUGAUGAAAGCGCUCCUGUUUAUACUAUGGUUUACUGAAUAUUUUAAGCCCACUGUUGAGACCUACUGCUUCAAAAAAAAGAUUCCUUUCUAAAUAUUACUGCUCAUUGACAAUGAAGCUGGUAACCCAAGAGCUCUGACGGAAAUAUACAAGAAGAUUAAUGUUGUUUUCAUGCCUGCAAACAAAUCAUCCAUUUUGUAGCACACAGAUAAAGGAGUAAUUUUUACUUUCAAGUCUUAUUAUUUAAGAAAAACACUUCAUAAGGCUACAACUGCCAUAGUGACAUUUAUGAUGGAUCUGAGCAAAGUACAUUGAAAAUCUUCUGGAAAGGAUGCACCAUUCUAGAUGUCCUUAAGAACAUUUGUGAUUCACGGGAAGAGAUCAAAAUAUCAACACUAACAGGAAUUUAAAGGAGGUUAAUUCCAACUCUCAUGGAAGACUUUGAGGCAUUCAAGGUUUCAGUGGAGGAAGUUCCUAUAGAUGUAGUGGGCAGAGUGAGAAAAGUAGAAUCAGAAGUGGAGCCUGAGUACAUAACUGAAUCUCAGGAUAAAAUUUGAACAAAUGAGGAGUUGCUUCUUAUGGAUAGGCCAAGAAAGAGGUUUCUUGAGAUAGAAUCCACUCCUGGUGAAGAUGCUGUGAACAUUUUUGAAAUGACAACACACAAAAAUAGAAUAUUUUCUAAACUUAGUUGAUGAGACAGCAUCAGAAUUUGAAAGGUUCGACUCUAGUUUUGAAAGGUUCUGCUGUGGGUAAGAUGCUAUCAAACAGCAUCACAUGCUACAGAGAAAUGGUUGGUAAAAGGAAGAGUCAAUGGAUGCACCAAACUUUCCUGUUUUAUUUUAAGAAAUAACCACAACUAACUCAACCUUCAGUAACCACCACCUGAUCAUUCAGCAGCAGCCAUCAACCUUGAGGGAAGACCUUCUAGCAACAAAAAGAUUAAGACUCUGAAGGGUCAGAUGAGCAGUAGCUUUUUUUUUUUAGUAAUAAAGUAAAGUAUUUUUAAAUUAAGUUAUGAACAUUGGGAAUUUUUCACAUAAUGCUAUUAUUCAUACACACAACUUUUAUAUGCCCUGGGAAACCAAAGAAUUUGUGUGACUUACUUUAUUGUAGUGGUCUGGAACCAAAUCCACAAUAUCUUUGAAGUAUGCCUGUAUAUGUGUGUGUGUAUAUAUAUAUAUGUGUGUGUGUGUAUAUAUAUGUAUAUAUAUUACAUGCAUACACAUAGAUUAACAUUUUAAAAGUACAUAUACUUUAUAUGCAUAUGUAUAUAUGUGUGUGUACAUAUAUACAUAUGUACACACACAUAUAUACAUAUGUAUGUGUACAUAUGUAUAUAUGUAUGUGUACAUACAUAUAUACAUAUGCAUAUAUACAUAUGCAUAUAAAGUAUAUGUACUUUUAAAAUGUUAAUCUAUGUGUAUGCAUGUAAUAUAUAUGUACACAUGUAUAUAUGUAUAUAUGUGUGUGUACAUAUGUAUAUAUGUACACACACAUAUAUACAUAUGCAUAUAAAGUAUAUGUACUUUUAAAAUGUUAAUCUAUGUGUAUGCAUGUAAUAUAUAUACAUAUGUAUAUAGGCACACACAGACAUAUGCAUACAUACACAUAUAUAGCAGGGUCCUAAAAUAUAUAUAGCUAUAUAUACACAUAUAUAGCAGGGUCCUAAAAUAUAUGUAGCUAUGUAUACACAUAUAUAGCAGGGUCCUAAAAAUCUGUGACCAUGCAGUUAUCAUCUCCAGGAAAUUAUUAUGAGUCUAUUUCAAUUACGAUACAAAUCUCUUCCCUAGUAAAUACAGUGCAGCCUAUAAACAUAGACAUUUGGGAAUAGAGAUACUUUCUUUCAAUGAAAUAACAUUACAUUCCUUGCAAACUUAGAUUAUUUUCAAAAGACUGACCAAAAUGUAUUUUUGGAAAGAAAGAGAAUAAGACAAAAAAAAAAAAAAAAAACCAUAGCAAAAUUUCAGGAUAAAAAAAUGCUGCUCAAAUUAGCUUUUCUCACAAAAUGCUGCACCACAUAGUGAUAUUUAGUCCCAAAGAGGCAGUAGUUUUUCACCAUAGGCCUUCUGUCCCUGUGGACUGCCCUUUCUAUGGCUCCCACCCACUCCCCUUUUGUAUCUGUAAUCACUGUGUUGAACAUGGAUGGCACUGAUAACAUUUUGCAUUCCAUUUUCUUCCUCUUAGUCUUGUGUUAUUCAGAUGCACUGACCCCAUAAAAUGUUAUGAGGUAAAAGCUACUCUCAUGACCUGUAGAAAUGAAUGUCACUUUCUAAGGUAUCAGGGAAGAUUUGAGUCCUGGGAGAAUAUGCUGCUCUCCCUAAUGGCAAUUCAUGUAUCACUUUGAUGCUCAAAAAGUAACGACGCUGUCUCUUCCCCAAAGAAGAAUGAAGCAUAUGUGAAGCCAUCGUUUUCUUCACAAGGUCAGAGAACAAAGUACUUCGAAGCCAAAUGAGGAAAUUGGGGCGUGAAGAUAACUAUUUUAGAAUAUUUCUGGAAAUAUGGUAACCAGUCAAGACAGCAUUUAUUUUAAAGUGUGGUGUUAUAAUUUUGCACAGAAAUUUUUUAUGAGAAUAUUUUUGUCACUUUCAGAGAGAUCUAUUAUGAUAUGCAGGGCUGAAGGGAACAUGUUGACAUGUCUGAGAGCUAAAACAAACGUGAAGAAUGAAGCUGAAAAUAACCAGCUGUGAAGAAAGCAUUACAAAGCGCUGGGUGGCACUCAGCAUUGUACAUCUAGAAUUCAGAGAUGUGUUAGGAGAAUGCAAUAACAUGGCACUCGUAGCAAGCUUUUCCAAGAAGAAAUUAAGAAGGGCACAUCAUUUGCUAUUAUAGACUAAGGUAAUUGGUAUCUACGUAUCUGUGCUCUUCUGCUGCCAAUAGGGAUAUGCAUGAAAAAGAUGCAGCUGCACCUCUCUUUGCACAGUGGAUUCCCGAAAAUCUCUGUGCAAAUAAAUCCCAUUAUAAAACCAGAAAUGAUUCAUCUUUUCUGAUUGAUCUUCAAUAUAAAUGGUUCUUAACAUUUAACCUUUAAGAUCCUUUGUCUGAGCCACAUGGGGUUCAACUUCCUUCUCUAUACUACUGGCUCCUAAAUAUUAGUUCUUAAUGAAGUGUUCACCAUGCUCUUGUGAAAUAAGAAAAUGAAGGGAAAUGAAGUAACAUUUUGGGAGAUAAAUGUAUUCAAAUUAAAUGGCCUUGUUUAAUUCUGAGAUUAUGCCAUUAUGUUUUCCCUUUUUGAUGUUAAAAAGACCUUUUCUUUUAUGAAAUCAUGCUAACAGUAGAUGUUCAUUUAUAGUGUGUUGCUUAUAAUUUUACUGGUUUCUGAAAUCUAAAACUAUUUGUAUCUCAAUAUGCAACCAUACAAAACAUCUCAAGCCAACCUCUGCCAAGAGUUAAUGCAUUUUUCAACAAACGAAUAAAUAUAGAACUUACUUUAUAAAGAAAAUAUCCCAGGCUUCAUCUUAUAAUGCAAAGAGGUGUUAUCUAGCUAUUCUGGGUUUUGACACUGGAUGUUACAUAUUUCUCUUCCUUUCAUCAAAUUCAUCGAACUGGUUAUAU